This 264-nucleotide ribosomal RNA is filed under the name uncultured archaeon. Its description in RNAcentral is "partial 16S ribosomal RNA". It matches the Rfam family "Archaeal small subunit ribosomal RNA", at positions 719 to 982 of the family's 1478-position model. The record is from RNAcentral.
ACACGACUACAUUAGAUACCCGUGUAGUCCCAGCCCUAAACGAUGCGCGUUAGGUGUAUCGGUGACCACGAGUCACCGAGGUGCCGAAGGGAAACCGUGAAACGUGCCGCCUGGGAAGUACGGUCGCAAGGCUGAAACUUAAAGGAAUUGGCGGGGAGCACCACAACGGGUGGAGCCUGCGGUUUAAUUGGACUCAACGCCGGAAAACUCAUCGGGAGCGACAGCAGUAUGAUUGCCAGGUUGAUGACCUUGCUUGACAAGCUG